RNAcentral lists this ribosomal RNA (352 nucleotides) under uncultured bacterium. RNAcentral describes it as "bacterial SSU rRNA". It matches the Rfam family "Bacterial small subunit ribosomal RNA", at positions 8 to 350 of the family's 1533-position model. The record is from RNAcentral.
AGAGUUUGAUCCUGGCUCAGGAUAAACGCUGGCGGCGCACAUAAGACAUGCAAGUCGAACGGACUUAACCGUUAGUUUACUAAUGGAGCGGUUAGUGGCGGACUGGUGAGUAACACGUAAGCAACCUGCCUAUCAGAGGGGAACAACAGUUAGAAAUGACUGCUAAUACCGCAUAUGCCUUAGCAACACAUGUUGCAAAAAGGGAAAGGAGCAAUCCGCUGAUAGAUGGACUUGCGUCUGAUUAGAUAGUUGGUGGGGUAACGGCUUACCAAGUCGACGAUCAGUAGCCGGACUGAGAGGUUGAACGGCCACAUUGGGACUGAGAUACGGCCCAGACUCCGUACGGGAGGCA